This 242-nucleotide ribosomal RNA is filed under the name uncultured bacterium. RNAcentral's name for it is "partial 16S ribosomal RNA". It matches the Rfam family "Bacterial small subunit ribosomal RNA", at positions 118 to 348 of the family's 1533-position model. The record is from RNAcentral.
UGGGUAACCUGCCUCAAAGAGGGGAAUAGCCUCCCGAAAGGGAGAUUAAUACCGCAUAAUAUGUUUAGGUCGCAUGACUUUAACAUCAAAGGAUUUUCUUUUAGAACUUCCACUUUGAGAUGGACCCGCGGCGCAUUAGCUAGUUGGUGAGGUAACGGCUCACCAAGGCAACGAUGCGUAGCCGACCUGAGAGGGUGAUCGGCCACAUUGGAACUGAGACACGGUCCAGACUCCUAGGGAGG